AUGAACAUCAUCUUGGUCGGCCUAUUAACCAACAUUGAUCCAAUUCACAUCGAUGAUCCUCUUUGCCCUGCUAACAACGUGCGCAAGAAUUAUUUCCGGGUCCACCACUGCAUCAAGAGCUUUUGGAGUUGUGGCAAUGCUGUGAUUAUGCUCUUUUAUCUGGCUUUUGCUGAUGCUUUUGCAGUUCUAGAGAACGAGCUACUGCAGUUCAUUGCAGAAUUAAAAAGAACCUAUGAUUCCACGAGCUGCAGGAACUGUUGGGUUGGAAUGGCCUCCUGUGUUCUAGACACCGAGUUACUACUGCAGCUGGUGGAAAAGGAGGCGGAGGAAUUGGAUGAUUCGAGAGCAAGAUGGGGGGUGCACUCUGCACACAUAAGGUACUGUACCUGUCACUUCCGUAACACGAGCUUAUCUAAUCACUUUGGAUUGUUGACGUGGCAAAGGAUGACCGGGAUUGGGGAGGAAACGCCCGCGGGUGGGCAGGCCCAGUUUGCGGCAUUAACAACCCUCUGGUCAGAAGCCACUGUUGGUGUCGCCCGUCGCCUCAUCGUCGCGGGAGGGAUAAUGAACUGGUUCGGCUUUGGUGUGAAUUGGCUUGGAUUUGUUGCCUGCCUUGCAACUUCAGAUCUGUUGGGUGGGUCCUGGACAUCAGUUCUGUUCUUAACAAAGUUCCAAAUUUGGGUGGAAGAUCUUGAUCAACAUAUUGGUGCUUCUUUUAAGGAGAGCACAGGAGAUGGAGGAACUGGUAUCAUUAUUGGGGACACCUCGAAGCUUGCAUUGAGUGUUCAUGUUGCUGAUGGGGCUAUGGCGGAAGCCUUUUGCGUUGAGAGAAGGUCUCCUCACGUGGAUACUAAUUCUUUCACUAUUCAUAAUGAUUGUCUUCGGGAGGGUUCAAACUAUUAA
This 903-nucleotide ribosomal RNA is filed under the name Triticum aestivum (bread wheat). Its description in RNAcentral is "partial small subunit ribosomal RNA". Lineage: Eukaryota; Viridiplantae; Streptophyta; Magnoliopsida; Poales; Poaceae. The record is from RNAcentral.